RNAcentral lists this ribosomal RNA (231 nucleotides) under uncultured bacterium. RNAcentral's name for it is "partial 16S ribosomal RNA". It matches the Rfam family "Bacterial small subunit ribosomal RNA", at positions 335 to 558 of the family's 1533-position model. The record is from RNAcentral.
ACUCCUACGGGAGGCAGCAGUGAGGAAUAUUGGUCAAUGGGCGCAAGCCUGAACCAGCCAUGCCGCGUGCAGGAUGACGGUCCUAUGGAUUGUAAACUGCUUUUGUACGGGAGAAACACUCCUUCAGUGAAGGAGGCUUGUACGGGUACCCGUAAGAAAUAAGGAUCGGCUAACUCCGUGCCAGCAGCCGCGGUAAUACGGAGGAUCCAAGCGUUAUCCGGAAUCAUUGGG